Molecule: long non-coding RNA, 520 nt
Organism: Corticium candelabrum
Lineage: Eukaryota; Metazoa; Porifera; Homoscleromorpha; Homosclerophorida; Plakinidae
Exons: 5
Source: RefSeq, a predicted model, not a curated record
CAUCAAUCGCUCAGAUGAAAGCUGCCACGUCAUGACACAAACCCCUAGCAACCGUUUACUGCAAACUUCUACCAUAACGGAGAAAUAAGCAUUGAAAUGUCCUGUGUGGGCGUGUUUAGUACCCGUAUGUUUUUCCAGACUAAAUUGCUGGUUAGCUAUCAGAGAAGACCGAUACCUGUGCACUUUUCAAGAUCACAUCAUUAGCUAAUGACAGAGGAGCUUUAGUCACUCACUUGCAACAGCAAACAGCAUUGGUAAAAGAGCUAGAACAGAAGCACGGUGAUGAACACGUACCAGACGCUAUUCAAAGCGAAUCAGACCAACUAGCGACUGAAAAAUCUAACUUGGCGAUACAAUUAGAAGCCAGAAUCAACGAGAGUGAACAACUACGAAGACUUACUGAUGAACAGACUGCUGAGAUCAUUCAACUACAAGCAACAGCUAAACGUUUGUCAGAAGAGGCGGUUGAUCGUACAGAAAUGAUGAACUCGAUGCAAAAUGAUAAAGAGACAAUUAGCAG